AUCUUGGCGGCGAAAGUGCGGUGGUCCCACCUGACCCCAUGCCGAACUCAGAAGUGAAACGCCGAAACGCCGAUGGUAGUGUGGGGGAUCCCCAUGUGAGAGUAGGUCACCGCCAGGU
This 118-nucleotide ribosomal RNA is filed under the name Mannheimia massilioguelmaensis. Lineage: Bacteria; Pseudomonadati; Pseudomonadota; Gammaproteobacteria; Pasteurellales; Pasteurellaceae. The record is from RNAcentral.